This 207-nucleotide ribosomal RNA is filed under the name uncultured bacterium. RNAcentral's name for it is "partial 16S ribosomal RNA". It matches the Rfam family "Bacterial small subunit ribosomal RNA", at positions 568 to 774 of the family's 1533-position model. The record is from RNAcentral.
CGCGUAGGCGGCCCGGUAAGUCCGCUGUAAAAGUCCAGGGCUCAACCCUGGAAAGCCGGUGGAUACUGUCGGGCUCGAGUCCGGAAGAGGCGAGUGGAAUUCCUGGUGUAGCGGUGGAAUGCGCAGAUAUCAGGAGGAACACCGAUAGCGAAGGCAGCUCGCUGGGACGGUACUGACGCUGAGGCGCGAAAGCGUGGGGAGCGAACA